RNAcentral lists this unclassified non-coding RNA (338 nucleotides) under soil metagenome. RNAcentral's name for it is "partial contains 5.8S ribosomal RNA, internal transcribed spacer 2, and large subunit ribosomal RNA". The stretch from base 1 to 120 matches the Rfam family "5.8S ribosomal RNA", at positions 35 to 154 of the family's 154-position model. The record is from RNAcentral.
GAUGAAGAACGUGGCGAAAUGCGAUAAGUAAUGUGAAUUGCAGAAUUCAGUGAAUCAUCGAAUCUUUGAACGCACAUUGCGCCCGGUAGUAUUCUGCCGGGCAUGCCUGUUCGAGCAUCAUUUCAACCAUCAAGCCCCAGCGCUUGUGUUGGGGGCCUGCGGCUGCCGCAGCCCCCUAAAAGCAGUGGCGGGCUCGCUAUCACACCGAGUGCAGUAGUUCAUCUUCUCUCCGGUCUUGUGAGGCGGGUUCCGGCCGUGAAACACCCCACUACAUUCAAGGUUGACCUCGGAUCAGGUAGGAAUACCCGCUGAACUUAAGCAUAUCAAUAAGCGGAGGA